AUGGCACUUUUAAAUGUCCGCUCUCUGUUGAACAAGUCUUUUAUUAUUAAUGAUUUAAUUUUAGAUAAUAAACUUGACUGUUUAUUUUUAACUGAAACAUGGCUGGGUUCGGAUGCACCAGUUGUUCUCACUGAGGCCUCCCCACCAAAUUUUAAUUUCUCCUUUUCUAUUAGAAGUGGUAAAAGAGGUGGUGGGACUGCAUCUUUAACCAAUAACAGACUCACCACCAAACAAAUUUUAUUUGAUCAUUUUACCACUUUUGAAUUCCAUGCUAUUGUUUUUAGCAGCGCUCCAGUUUUAUCUGUCACAAUUUAUAGACCACCUAUAGACAGUGCUGCUUUUAUCAAGGAAUUCUCAGAAUUUUUAACAAACAUACAUUCAAAAUAUAAAAUGAUAAUUUUAACCGGUGAUUUUAACCUGCACAUAGAUAAUCCUUCUGACUCUACAUCAAAAGAAUUCUUAAACAUUCUUCACUGUAUGGAUUUUACCCAGCACGUCACGCAGCCGACUCACAACAGAGGACACACUCUGGACCUGGUCAUCACCCAUGGGCUGUCCACCAGUGUGUCCUCUGUUGUUGACUUGGCUGUCUCUGACCACUACUGUGUGUUUUUUAACAUCACCGGUUUUAUACAGCGGGAGACCUCGGUGCGAACUGUGAGGAGGCGCUAUCUAACCUCUGAAGUGGCUGCAAAUUAUACCAGGGUUUUAGACGAAUGCCCCCCUGUGAUUUUACCUGCACCCUGUGAUUUUAUUUUUAAUCAUUUUAACAGCAAACUGAAGAAAAGCCUUGACUCCGUUGCUCCACUCACCACCAAAAAGAUUAACAGAAAACAUGUAUCACCCUGGAGAAACGAAGAAGUCAAAACACUCAAAAGGAAUUGCAGGGCAGCAGAAAGGAGAUGGAGGAAAAAUAAAAAUGCAAUCAACCAUCAAAUACUUUGCGAGCAACUUAAAAUUUACAAUAAUACACUAAGGAAUUCAAGAAAUUCAUACUUCGCCAAAAUAAUCAGUAAUAACAAAAAUAAUCCCAAGGUCCUCUUUUCCACCAUAGAUCAUUUAUUUAACCCUGAUUUUAACAGCUCCCAAAGAACUCCCACAGACUCACUCUGUGAGCAGUUUGCAGACCACUUCAGGGGAAAAAUCAGCACCAUCAGAUGUGAUAUUUUAUCUUCUCGUGAUAUGAUUUUAAACACAUCUGAGGGCUCGAUUGUACCUGAGGAGACACUGGACAGCUUUGUUCUGGUUAAUGCUGAGAACCUUAAGAAAGUUUUCUCCACAGUGAGAUCCACCACGUCUUUUAGAUCGAAUCCCCUCUUUACUUUUUAA
This 1329-nucleotide long non-coding RNA is filed under the name Oreochromis niloticus (Nile tilapia). RNAcentral's name for it is "lncRNA (ENSONIG00000041310.1)". Lineage: Eukaryota; Metazoa; Chordata; Actinopteri; Cichliformes; Cichlidae. The record is from RNAcentral.